UCAAAACAUCCUGAAUUGCACAGAAUUCCCUUCAAUGUAAAUGAAACACUUUACUUCAAAGCUCUAUUUUG
Molecule: transfer RNA, 71 nt
Filed under: Phyllomimus sinicus
Lineage: Eukaryota; Metazoa; Arthropoda; Insecta; Orthoptera; Tettigoniidae
Description: tRNA-Val
Source: RNAcentral